Molecule: ribosomal RNA, 499 nt
Filed under: uncultured bacterium
Lineage: Bacteria
Description: bacterial SSU rRNA
Rfam family: Bacterial small subunit ribosomal RNA
Source: RNAcentral
GGCUCAGGAUGAACGCUAGCUACAGGCUUAACACAUGCAAGUCGAGGGGAAACGAUAGAGAAAGCUUGCUUUUUCUAGGCGUCGACCGGCGCACGGGUGAGUAACGCGUAUCCAACCUGCCCAUCACUUGGGGAUAACCUUGCGAAAGUAAGACUAAUACCCAAUGACGUCUCUAGAAGACAUCUGAAAGAGAUUAAAGAUUUAUCGGUGAUGGAUGGGGAUGCGUCUGAUUAGCUUGUUGGCGGGGUAACGGCCCACCAAGGCGACGAUCAGUAGGGGUUCUGAGAGGAAGGUCCCCCACAUUGGAACUGAGACACGGUCCAAACUCCUACGGGAGGCAGCAGUGAGGAAUAUUGGUCAAUGGGCGAGAGCCUGAACCAGCCAAGUCGCGUGGAGGAAGACUGCCCUAUGGGUUGUAAACUCCUUUUACCUGGGAAUAACGGGCGCUACGUGUAGCGCUGUGCAUGUACCGGGAGAAUAAGCAUCGGCUAAUUCCGUG